This 398-nucleotide ribosomal RNA is filed under the name uncultured bacterium. RNAcentral describes it as "partial 16S ribosomal RNA". It matches the Rfam family "Bacterial small subunit ribosomal RNA", at positions 360 to 775 of the family's 1533-position model. The record is from RNAcentral.
AAUAUUGGACAAUGGGCGAAAGCCUGAUCCAGCCAUGCCGCGUGAGUGAUGAAGGCCCUAGGGUUGUAAAGCUCUUUCAGUGGUGAAGAUAAUGCCGGUAACCACAGAAGAAGCCCCAGCUAACUUGGUGCCAGUAGCCGCGGUAAUACGAAGGGGGCUAGCGUUGUUCGGAUUUACUGGGCGUAAAGCGCACGUAGGCGGAUUGGUAAGUUAGGGGUGAAAUCCCGGAGCUCAACUCCGGAACUGCCUUUAAUACUGCCAGUCUAGAGACCGAGAGAAGUAAGUGGAACUCCUAGUGUAGAGGUGGAAUUCGUAGAUAUUAGGAAGAACACCAGUGGCGAAGGCGGCUUACUGGCUCGGAACUGACGCUGAGGUGCGAAAGCGUGGGGAGCAAACAG